RNAcentral lists this transfer RNA (73 nucleotides) under Candidatus Neomicrothrix parvicella RN1. RNAcentral describes it as "Candidatus Microthrix parvicella RN1 tRNA". It matches the Rfam family "tRNA". From Rfam's summary of the family: Transfer RNA (tRNA) molecules are approximately 80 nucleotides in length. Their secondary structure includes four short double-helical elements and three loops (D, anti-codon, and T loops). RNAcentral also lists the same sequence under 3 other names. The record is from Rfam by way of RNAcentral. Lineage: Bacteria; Bacillati; Actinomycetota; Acidimicrobiia; Acidimicrobiales; Microthrixaceae.
GCCCCCAUCGUCCAGCGGCCUAGGACACCGCCCUUUCAAGGCGGCAACACGGGUUCGAAUCCCGUUGGGGGUG